CCCUUAGAUGUUCUGGGCCGCACGCGCGCUACACUGAUGCAUUCAACGAGCCUAUCCUUGACCGACAGGUCCGGGUAAUCUUUGAAUCUGCAUCGUGACGGGGAUAGAUUAUUGCAAUUAUUAAUUUUCAACGAGGAAUGCCUAGUAGGCGCAAGUCAUCAGCUUGCGUCGAUUACGUCCCUGCCCUUUGUACACACCGCCCGUCGCUCCUACCGAUUGGGUGUGCUGGUGAAAUGUUCGGAUCGGCCGUUUGUCGCGGUUUCCGCGUCAUGUGGCUGAGAAGUUCAUUAAACCCUCCCACCUAGAGGAAGGAGAAGUCGUAACA
This 325-nucleotide ribosomal RNA is filed under the name uncultured eukaryote. RNAcentral's name for it is "partial 18S ribosomal RNA". It matches the Rfam family "Eukaryotic small subunit ribosomal RNA", at positions 1470 to 1796 of the family's 1831-position model. The record is from RNAcentral.